Molecule: ribosomal RNA, 99 nt
Filed under: Bifidobacterium bifidum
Lineage: Bacteria; Bacillati; Actinomycetota; Actinomycetes; Bifidobacteriales; Bifidobacteriaceae
Description: partial 16S ribosomal RNA
Rfam family: Bacterial small subunit ribosomal RNA
Source: RNAcentral
UUUUUUUGUGGAGGGUUCGAUUCUGGCUCAGGAUGAACGCUGGCGGCGUGCUUAACACAUGCAAGUCGAACGGGAUCCAUCGGGCUUUGCUUGGUGGUG